This 3454-nucleotide unclassified non-coding RNA is filed under the name Hevea brasiliensis (rubber tree). Lineage: Eukaryota; Viridiplantae; Streptophyta; Magnoliopsida; Malpighiales; Euphorbiaceae. The record is from RNAcentral.
GUUUCUCUUUCUCUCUCACCUAGCUCGAUCUACCCAACCAAAGCGUGGAAGAAAGAGGCAAACUCCCUGGCUAUCGUCUCCGCUUUUUUUUUCUUGCUCAUUGAACCAGCAUAGAGAUGAAAGAAAGUAUCAAGAGUGAUAGUGGAAAUUCGAAAUCUCCAUCAGCUGCCUCCCUUCCACUGAUUUUGGAUAUAGAUGAUUUUAAGGGUGAAUUUUCAUUUGAUGGAUUAUUUGGGAACUUGGUAAAUGAAUUACUUCCAUCGUUUCAAGAAGAUGAAGCAGAUUCAGCCGAAGGGCAUGGAAACGUUGGUGGGAGUGAUGUCUUAGCAAAUGGGCAUGUAAGAGCCCCCUCUGAGGUACCAAAAUUUACACAAGGGCUGUCCCCUUUAUUUCCAGAAGUAGAUGCUCUCUUGUCUCUGUUCAGAGAUUCUUGUAAAGAGUUAAUUGAUCUUCGAAAGCAGAUUGAUGGAAAGCUCUCCAAUCUGAGGAAAGAUGUUUCUGCCCAAGACUCUAAGCACCGGAAAACACUUGCUGAGUUGGAAAAAGGUGUAGAUGGAUUGUUUGAUAGCUUUGCAAGGUUGGACUCUCGUAUUUCAAGUGUUGGACAGACUGCUGCGAAAAUAGGAGAUCAUUUGCAAAGUGCAGAUGCUCAGAGGGAAACUGCCAGCCAAACAAUAGAACUCAUCAAGUACCUGAUGGAGUUUAAUGGCAGCCCGGGUGAUUUAAUGGAACUUUCGCCUUUGUUUUCAGAUGACAGCCGUGUUUCUGAGGCUGCUUCAAUUGCACAGAAAUUACGUUCCUUUGCUGAGGAAGAUAUGGGAAGACAAGGCAUAUCUGUACCAUCAGUUAUGGGAAAUGCAACUGCUAGCAGAGGAUUGGAAGUUGCAGUUGCUAAUCUUCAGGAUUACUGCAAUGAACUGGAGAACAGAUUGUUGGCUCGAUUUGAUGCAGCAUCACAGAGAAGAGAGUUGUCUACCAUGGCAGAAUGUGCUAAAAUUUUAUCUCAGUUUAACAGGGGUACCAGUGCUAUGCAACAUUAUGUGGCAACACGUCCGAUGUUCAUUGACGUGGAAGUCAUGAAUGCGGACACCAGAUUGGUUCUUGGUGAUCAGGUUUCUCAAGCUAGUCCCAGUGAUGUUGCUCGUGGGCUUUCUUCAUUAUACAAAGAAAUUACAGACACUGUUCGUAAAGAGGCAGCCACAAUUAUGGCAGUAUUUCCUUCUCCUAAUGAUGUCAUGUCAAUUUUGGUCCAGCGAGUUUUGGAGCAGCGAGUUACAGCUCUUUUGGACAAAUUGUUAGUCAAACCUUCUCUUGUGAAUUUACCUCCUAUGGAAGAAGGCGGACUUUUGUUAUAUCUCAGAAUGCUAGCGGUGGCAUAUGAAAAGACUCAGGAACUUGCUAGAGACCUACGAGCUGUGGGAUGCGGUGACUUGGAUGUUGAGGGCCUCACAGAAUCUCUCUUUUCUUCUCACAAGGAUGAAUAUCCUGAACAUGAGCAGGCCUCUCUUAGACAGUUAUAUCAAGCAAAGGUGGAAGAAUUGCAUGCUGAGAGCCAGCAGCUUUCUGAGUCAACUGGAACAAUUGGACGAUCAAAGGGAGCUUCUGUAGCAUCUUCCCACCAGCAGAUAUCUGUUACUGUUGUGACAGAAUUUGUGCAUUGGAAUGAAGAAGCAAUAUCAAGAUGCACUCUGUUUUCAUCUCAACCUACUAACCUUGCAGCCAAUGUGAAAGCGGUGUUCACUUGCUUGCUAGACCAAGUUGGGCAAUAUCUAACAGAAGGUCUUGAAAGGGCUAGAGACAGUCUGACUGAAGCUGCAGCUUUGAGGGAAAGGUUUGUUCUGGGCACGAUUGUUACUAGAAGGGUGGCCACUGCUGCUGCUUCUGCUGCAGAAGCUGCAGCUGCAGCUGGUGAGAGCAGUUUCAGAUCUUUCAUGGUUUCUGUACAACGUUGUGGCAGUAGUGUGGCUAUAGUUCAGCAAGUAUGUUGGGUUGCGCUAACAUUGUUAAGUUAUUAUCAAGCCACAUAUUCGAUAACUUAAAUUGCUUCAUGUGAAGAAAUGGCAACAGCUAUGUCCAGUGCAGAAGCUGCUGCAUAUAAAGGGCUUCAGCAAUGCAUUGAAACUGUUAUGGCUGAGGUGGUCUAGACUUCCAGUCUUUUACUUCCUUGAUCUAGAUUCUGGUGGACAAUCACAAGUCUUUAAUUCAUCAUAUGAUUUUAUUUUUCUGGGUAGCAUUAAAUGCAGUGCAACAUUUUGUCCCUUUCCUUGUUUUGAUUUGUUAUGAUGAUCAGAUGUAUUUCCAUUUUGCACGUUUGUUUACUUUUCUUUAUUUUUAUUAUUAUCUUUGUGAAGCACUUAAACUACUGUGUAGGUAGAGCGAUUGUUAUCUGCUGAACAAAAGGCAACAGACUAUCGAUCACCAGAUGAUGGAAUUGCUCCUGAUCAUCGGCCGACAAAUGCUUGCACAAGAGUUGUGGCAUACCUUUCUCGUGUGCUUGAGGCUGCAUUUACUGCAUUAGAAGGUCUUAACAAACAAGCGUUCCUGACUGAACUGGGAAAUCGCUUAAAUAAAGGGCUGCUUAAUCACUGGCAGAAAUUCACUUUUAACCCCAGUGGAGGUCUACGGCUGAAGCGAGAUAUAACUGAGUAUGGGGAAUUUGUGCGAAGUUUCAAUGCUCCUUCUGUUGAUGAGAAAUUUGAAUUGUUGGGCAUAAUGGCAAAUGUAUUUAUUGUGGCUCCUGAAAGCCUUUCCACUUUGUUUGAGGGGACUCCCAGCAUCCGUAAAGAUGCACAAAGGUUUAUUCAGCUUAGAGAGGACUUCAAGAGUGCAAAACUUGCAUCCAGACUUAGCUCCUUGUGGACAAGUUCUAGUUGAUAAAGAAAUAGCGUGCUGACAUAUGUAACUUCCCUUAUUCUUUGGAUUUCUUACGUCAAAGCAGGUAUGCUUUACCUCAGUCUGUUCUGAUGGUGUGGGAAGUGUAAGUUUGAUUGUUUUGUUAGGGCUAAGACCAUGUUAAAGAGCUGGUUGCAAAUCAAGUUUUUUCCUAUGCUGUUCCAUCUACGGACAGGAAAUCAGGUAGAGGAUAGUCCAUUUUGAUUUUUUUAUUUCUUUUUCCUUCAAAAUUUCUUUGUCAUUUUUUUUUUUGUAUAUUUUUGAAGCUAUUGAUGUCAAGAUGCGAUAGAUUUGUAUCCUUAAUGCUCUAUUUUAGACGUUAGGUUUGCAGUUUUGAUUUGAACCUUCCAAGAAAGAAUCCAUUGCCCUCUGUAUUUUUGUAAAUGAUACUCUUAGGGAUGAAUAAUGAUUUAUUAGGGGUGAUUUUGUUUGAUUGAGUGAUGCAUGGUGUAUAUUAAUAUGAAUAUGUAAUUUUCUUGCCAAAUUUGAAGUUGCUAUUAGUGAGAUUUGAAUAUAUUUCCAAAUUAAAUAGCUUUGAAUAUGGGCUUUUGGGGCAACCCAC